AUUGAACGCUGGCGGCAGGCUUAACACAUGCAAGUCGAGCGGGGUGAUGGUGCUUGCAAUAUCACUUAGCGGCGGACGGGUGAGUAAUGUCUGGGAAACUGCCUGAUGGAGGGGGAUAACUACUGGAAACGGUAGCUAAUACCGCAUAACGUCGCAAGACCAAAGAGGGGGACCUUCGGGCCUCUUGCCAUCAGAUGUGCCCAGAUGGGAUUAGCUAGUAGGUGGGGUAAUGGCUCACCUAGGCGACGAUCCCUAGCUGGUCUGAGAGGAUGACCAGCCACACUGGAACUGAGACACGGUCCAGACUCCUACGGGAGGCAGCAGUGGGGAAUAUUGCACAAUGGGCGCAAGCCUGAUGCAGCCAUGCCGCGUGUAUGAAGAAGGCCUUCGGGUUGUAAAGUACUUUCAGCGGGGAGGAAGGUGUUGAGGUUAAUAACCUCAGCAAUUGACGUUACCCGCAGAAGAAGCACCAGCUAACUCCGUGCCAGCAGCCGCCGUAA
This 500-nucleotide ribosomal RNA is filed under the name uncultured bacterium. Its description in RNAcentral is "partial 16S ribosomal RNA". It matches the Rfam family "Bacterial small subunit ribosomal RNA", at positions 30 to 523 of the family's 1533-position model. The record is from RNAcentral.